GAUGAACGCUGGCGGCGCGCCUAACACAUGCAAGUCGAACGAUUAAAGCACCUUCGGGUGUGUAUAAAGUGGCGAACGGCUGAGUAACACGUGGGCAACCUGCCCCUCUCAUUGGGAUAGCCACGGGAAACCGUGGAUAAUACCGAAUACUUCGAGACUUCCGCAUGGAAGACCCGAGAAAGCACCGGCGGAGGGGGAUGGGCCCGCGGCCUGUUAGCUUGUUGGUGGGGUAACGGCCUACCAAGGCAAUGAUGGGUAGCUGGGUUGAGAGGCCGACCAGCCAGGUUAGGACUGAGACACGACCCAGACUCCUACGGGAGGCAGCGGUGGAGAAUCUUACACAGUGGGCGAGGGCCAGAUGCGGCGACGCCACGUGCGGGAUAAGGGCCUGCGGGUUGUAAACCACUUUCAGCAGGGACGGGGCGAAAGUGACGGUACCUGCAGAAGAAGCCCCGGCUAACUACGUG
RNAcentral lists this ribosomal RNA (467 nucleotides) under uncultured bacterium. Its description in RNAcentral is "partial 16S ribosomal RNA". It matches the Rfam family "Bacterial small subunit ribosomal RNA", at positions 28 to 507 of the family's 1533-position model. The record is from RNAcentral.